AAGAAAAUAGUUAAAACCUUAUAACAAUAUCUUGUCAAGAUAUAAUUACUUUAAGUUUUUCUUA
RNAcentral lists this transfer RNA (64 nucleotides) under Phalangium opilio (common harvesterman). RNAcentral describes it as "tRNA-Asp". Lineage: Eukaryota; Metazoa; Arthropoda; Arachnida; Opiliones; Phalangiidae. The record is from RNAcentral.